UGGGGAAUCUUCCGCAAUGGACGAAAGUCUGACGGAGCAACGCCGCGUGUAUGAUGAAGGUCUUCGGAUUGUAAAGUACUGUCUUUGGGGAAGAAUGACUGAUUUGAGAAUAUUGAGUCAGUAUGACGGUACCCAAAGAGGAAGCCCCGGCUAACUACGUGCCAGCAGCCGCGGUAAUACGUAGGGGGCAAGCGUUGUCCGGAAUUAUUGGGCGUAAAGGGCGCGUAGGCGGGUAUUUAAGUCCGUUGUGAAAGAUCAGGGCUCAACCCUGAGAGUGCAUCGGAAACUGGGUAUCUUGAGGACAGGAGAGGAAAGUGGAAUUCCUAGUGUAGCGGUGAAAUGCGUAGAUAUUAGGAGGAACACCAGUGGCGAAGGCGACUUUCUGGACUGUAACUGACGCUGAGGCGCGAAAGCGUGGGGAGCAAACAGG
Molecule: ribosomal RNA, 430 nt
Filed under: uncultured prokaryote
Also listed under: 1 other name
Description: bacterial SSU rRNA
Rfam family: Bacterial small subunit ribosomal RNA
Source: RNAcentral